AACGAACGCUGGCGGCGUGCCUAACACAUGCAAGUCGAACGGAAUUUGAGAGCUUGCUCUUAAAUUUAGUGGCGCACGGGUGAGUAACGCGUAGAUAAUCUGCCUGAUGAUCUGGGAUAACAGUUCGAAAGGACUGCUAAUACCGGAUAAGCCCACGGGUUCUUUGGAAUCUGCGGGAAAGGGGGGGACCUUUUGGCCUUCUGUCAUCAGAUGAGUCUGCGUACCAUUAGCUAGUUGGUAGGGUAAAGGCCUACCAAGGCUACGCUGGUUAGCUGGUCGGAGAGGAUGAUCAGACACACUGGAACUGAGACACGGUCCAGACUCGUACGGGAGGAAGCAGUGGGGAAUUUUGGGCAAUGGGCGAAAGCCUGACGCAGCAACGCCGCGUGAGUGAUGAAGGCUUUCGGGUCGUAAAGCUCUGUCAGGGGGAAAGAAAUGUAUUGUGGCUAAUAUCCGCGAUACUUGACGGUACCCCCAAAGGAAGCACCGGCUAACUCCGUGCCAGCAGCCGCAGUAA
RNAcentral lists this ribosomal RNA (517 nucleotides) under uncultured bacterium. Its description in RNAcentral is "partial 16S ribosomal RNA". It matches the Rfam family "Bacterial small subunit ribosomal RNA", at positions 29 to 523 of the family's 1533-position model. The record is from RNAcentral.